RNAcentral lists this ribosomal RNA (1801 nucleotides) under Pseudomonas aeruginosa. Its description in RNAcentral is "partial 23S ribosomal RNA". It matches the Rfam family "Bacterial large subunit ribosomal RNA", at positions 1141 to 2925 of the family's 2925-position model. The record is from RNAcentral. Lineage: Bacteria; Pseudomonadati; Pseudomonadota; Gammaproteobacteria; Pseudomonadales; Pseudomonadaceae.
CUCACUAGUCGAGUCGGCCUGCGCGGAAGAUGUAACGGGGCUCAAACCACACACCGAAGCUGCGGGUGUCACGUAAGUGACGCGGUAGAGGAGCGUUCUGUAAGCCUGUGAAGGUGAGUUGAGAAGCUUGCUGGAGGUAUCAGAAGUGCGAAUGCUGACAUGAGUAACGACAAUGGGUGUGAAAAACACCCACGCCGAAAGACCAAGGGUUCCUGCGCAACGUUAAUCGACGCAGGGUUAGUCGGUUCCUAAGGCGAGGCUGAAAAGCGUAGUCGAUGGGAAACAGGUUAAUAUUCCUGUACUUCUGGUUACUGCGAUGGAGGGACGGAGAAGGCUAGGCCAGCUUGGCGUUGGUUGUCCAAGUUUAAGGUGGUAGGCUGAAAUCUUAGGUAAAUCCGGGGUUUCAAGGCCGAGAGCUGAUGACGAGUCGUCUUUUAGAUGACGAAGUGGUUGAUGCCAUGCUUCCAAGAAAAGCUUCUAAGCUUCAGGUAACCAGGAACCGUACCCCAAACCGACACAGGUGGUCGGGUAGAGAAUACCAAGGCGCUUGAGAGAACUCGGGUGAAGGAACUAGGCAAAAUGGCACCGUAACUUCGGGAGAAGGUGCGCCGGCUAGGGUGAAGGAUUUACUCCGUAAGCUCUGGCUGGUCGAAGAUACCAGGCCGCUGCGACUGUUUAUUAAAAACACAGCACUCUGCAAACACGAAAGUGGACGUAUAGGGUGUGACGCCUGCCCGGUGCCGGAAGGUUAAUUGAUGGGGUUAGCGCAAGCGAAGCUCUUGAUCGAAGCCCCGGUAAACGGCGGCCGUAACUAUAACGGUCCUAAGGUAGCGAAAUUCCUUGUCGGGUAAGUUCCGACCUGCACGAAUGGCGUAACGAUGGCGGCGCUGUCUCCACCCGAGACUCAGUGAAAUUGAAAUCGCUGUGAAGAUGCAGUGUAUCCGCGGCUAGACGGAAAGACCCCGUGAACCUUUACUGUAGCUUUGCACUGGACUUUGAGCCUGCUUGUGUAGGAUAGGUGGGAGGCUUUGAAGCGUGGACGCCAGUUCGCGUGGAGCCAUCCUUGAAAUACCACCCUGGCAUGCUUGAGGUUCUAACUCUGGUCCGUAAUCCGGAUCGAGGACAGUGUAUGGUGGGCAGUUUGACUGGGGCGGUCUCCUCCUAAAGAGUAACGGAGGAGUACGAAGGUGCGCUCAGACCGGUCGGAAAUCGGUCGCAGAGUAUAAAGGCAAAAGCGCGCUUGACUGCGAGACAGACACGUCGAGCAGGUACGAAAGUAGGUCUUAGUGAUCCGGUGGUUCUGUAUGGAAGGGCCAUCGCUCAACGGAUAAAAGGUACUCCGGGGAUAACAGGCUGAUACCGCCCAAGAGUUCAUAUCGACGGCGGUGUUUGGCACCUCGAUGUCGGCUCAUCACAUCCUGGGGCUGAAGCCGGUCCCAAGGGUAUGGCUGUUCGCCAUUUAAAGUGGUACGCGAGCUGGGUUUAGAACGUCGUGAGACAGUUCGGUCCCUAUCUGCCGUGGACGUUUGAGAUUUGAGAGGGGCUGCUCCUAGUACGAGAGGACCGGAGUGGACGAACCUCUGGUGUUCCGGUUGUCACGCCAGUGGCAUUGCCGGGUAGCUAUGUUCGGAAAAGAUAACCGCUGAAAGCAUCUAAGCGGGAAACUUGCCUCAAGAUGAGAUCUCACUGGGAACUUGAUUCCCCUGAAGGGCCGUCGAAGACUACGACGUUGAUAGGCUGGGUGUGUAAGCGUUGUGAGGCGUUGAGCUAACCAGUACUAAUUGCCCGUGAGGCUUGACCA